RNAcentral lists this small RNA (313 nucleotides) under Microtus ochrogaster (prairie vole). Its description in RNAcentral is "7SK RNA (ENSMOCG00000003547.1)". Lineage: Eukaryota; Metazoa; Chordata; Mammalia; Rodentia; Cricetidae. The record is from RNAcentral.
GGGUGUGAGGGGAAUUGGCUGCCACAUCUGUCACCCCCGCCCCAUGAGCAGGGUUGUCUUGGCUGGCAUGGAUGGAGAGGCACCUGUGUCCUACUCAGGGCUCAGUGUGCCACUCUCCUGGACAUGGAUUUACGGUUAGAACUGGACCUUCAGGAGAGAGAAAUGGAGCUGUGUUUGAUGUCUAGGGAACAGGAGCGACUGUGUUCCCUGCUGUGAGCCUCCAGACAGACUCUAAAGUGGUGUCAGUGCCAGGACUGUGUGCAGGGAUGUCACCUCAGCACAUGCAGUCUGAGGCAAGAGGAUGACCACUACU